AGAUUGAACGCUGGCGGCAGGCCUAACACAUGCAAGUCGAGCGGUAACAGAGAGUAGCUUGCUACUUUGCUGACGAGCGGCGGACGGGUGAGUAAUGCUUGGGAACAUGCCUUAAGGUGGGGGACAACAGUUGGAAACGACUGCUAAUACCGCAUAACGUCUACGGACCAAAGGGGGCUUCGGCUCUCGCCUAAAGAUUGGCCCAAGUGGGAUUAGCUAGUUGGUGAGGUAAUGGCUCACCAAGGCGACGAUCCCUAGCUGGUUUGAGAGGAUGAUCAGCCACACUGGGACUGAGACACGGCCCAGACUCCUACGGGAGGCAGCAGUGGGGAAUAUUGCACAAUGGGCGAAAGCCUGAUGCAGCCAUGCCGCGUGUGUGAAGAAGGCCUUCGGGUUGUAAAGCACUUUCAGUCAGGAGGAAAGGUUAGUAGUUAAUACCUGCUAGCUGUGACGUUACUGACAGAAGAAGCACCGGCUAACUCCGUGCCAGCAGCCGCGGUAAUACGGAGGGUGCGAGCGUUAAUCGGAAUUACUGGGCGUAAAGCGUACGCAGGCGGUUUGUUAAGCGAGAUGUGAAAGCCCCGGGCUCAACCUGGGAACUGCAUUUCGAACUGGCAAACUAGAGUGUGAUAGAGGGUGGUAGAAUUUCAGGUGUAGCGGUGAAAUGCGUAGAGAUCUGAAGGAAUACCGAUGGCGAAGGCAGCCACCUGGGUCAACACUGACGCUCAUGUACGAAAGCGUGGGGAGCAAACGGGAUUAGAUACCCCGGUAGUCCACGCCGUAAACGAUGUCUACUAGAAGCUCGGAGCCUCGGUUCUGUUUUUCAAAGCUAACGCAUUAAGUAGACC
This 848-nucleotide ribosomal RNA is filed under the name bacterium. Its description in RNAcentral is "bacterial SSU rRNA". It matches the Rfam family "Bacterial small subunit ribosomal RNA", at positions 26 to 870 of the family's 1533-position model. The record is from RNAcentral.